CUACAGUUAAAAAGGAGAGUGAUUUUGGUAUUAUUUGGAAACUAUAGGGGUAAAAAUGUCAGAAGAUAGUCAAAGUGAAACGAGUUUUUCUGGAGGGUACGGCGUUUCAAGAGGACGAGAAACUUCUUCUUUUUCUUCUUCUUCUGUCCGGCGGUGAUGGAGGCGUCGCAGGAAUUACCGGAGUGUCCGGUCUGCUUGCAACCGUAUGACGGCGCGUGCACGAUCCCGUCGGAGCAAUCCGAUGCCCCGCCUGUACGGUUCUCGUCAAGUACCCGACGGAAUGUCCGACGACUCUCCCAAAAAACAUCGACCUCCUUAGACUCAUCCCCGCCUCUGAAAAUCCCCGAAAACCCGACAACGAACCGAAAAAUGUCUCCCGUGUCCCUUUCCUCCCCCGAUCUUGGUCCGACAAGUUUUACUCCAACUGGAAAAACUACCUCCUCCGUGAUGACGCCGUUGAGAGAAACAAAGUGAGUCUUUAUCCCGUUGGGUAUUUUUCAACUGGUGGGGAGGAUGGCUCCGUGUUUAAUGCUGGGUAUCUCGUUAAAGUUAUGGAUUGCAUGCGUGAAAUGAAAGAGGAUGAAAGAGAAUAAUUGGGUUUAGUUUUAAGAGCAUUUACUAAGCAAAGUUGUAGAAUUUUGGGUUUGUGGGGUGAUCUUGGGAUGGAGUUUUAUAUUUAGUAAGUGAGAAGCAGAAAUUGGGAAGUGUUUUGGAUAAGAACUUGGGUAGUUUUGACAAAGAUGGGGUUUUUAAUUUCGCAAUGAUCGGUAUGGUAAUAUGUGACGCCGUCGUUUCUUUGCAUCGAGAAGGGUUGAUUGCUGGUUGUUAAGCUUUGUUUGCCUAUGAUUUCGGGCAUAUAUAUAUUGAUUUGAAUGAGUUGUUAUUGACUGGAAGGGGAAUGCAAGAUGCUGUAAAUGUUGGUUUUAGUGGUAAAAAGAUUAUUGAUGAAGAAAUUGGUAUUUUGUUUUAAGAUUUGUUGAGAAGGGAUGUAUUUGUUAGCCCUGACGUGUUGCUUAAGCUUUUAGAUAAAAAGGGUAUCGGGUUAGAGCGUGGUAGCACAAGAUAUUCAAUAAGAUAUAGCUCGGAUGCUUGGUUGUUAAGUUGUAUUCUGCUUAGGAUUGUCAAUGGGGAUGUUUUUAGUGACGAGUUGGUUGAUUAUAUGUGCCAUAUUAUUGUGAAAGGAAGUGAGAAUAGUGAAAUUGAUUGUUUGAGUGUCUAUACAAGUUUCAUGGAGAAAGUUAUUUCUUUGUUCGGAACUAAAUUUGGGUCAGAAUGUGUGCCUUUGCAACAGGUUCUAUGUAAAUGCUUGGAUCUUGAUCCCGAGCAUCGUUCACUGGUGAGAGAUGUAUGGAAAUGUAUUAGAGAGCUAGUUAUUAAACUGCAAUCCGAUAAAUUGGUGAAAUUGGAUGGAGCAAGUUAUGAUGAGAAUGGAGAACGAUGUUUGGUUGUGGGAAAAUUGUGUCUGAUGUCUGGGGAAAGACCUGUAAAAACAGGAAAAAGAAGAGACACAAGGAAAUGAAACAAACGGUGCAACGGACAUGGUUAACGGUCUCGCUGAGGGAAGCAUUAAAUCAAAAGAUUUGCAAGGCUAUCUUGAUCGGGUUUCCGGAUUAGCUGUAGGAGUUUAGGGGGACGAUGUGCUUCGGAAAUCAAUGCAAAUACACAAUGGAGCCAUUUUCGCUGUUAGCUUGGACGGAAAAUGGCUUUUUACGGGUAGUUGGGACCGAACCAUCAAGGCACAGGAACUAGCAGGAGAUAAUGUUGAAGUAGAUGUUCGACAGAUUGGCUUCAAGACCUAUGCAUGUAGAUGAUAACCAACAACGGAGAUGAGAUUUGCUCGUGGUUAUCGUUUGUUUUUCUGUUUUGUUCAGUUUCAUACCAACCAUGGAUGAAAUGCUGAAUCAGUCAACACUGAUCUCAACUUGCAGGUGUACUAACUAUCAGGGGAGGUGAUCAAGGUUUCUCGUCAGCCUAACGGUUUCUUGUCUGGGAUUUAGCUGUUAGCAAGCCCUGAAAUCAAUGUUCCCAUAGACGGCGGUGCAGAUGACCUUUGUGCAGAAAACUACACCAAUACAGAGAGAUGUUGAAGUUCUUCUCUAGCUAAGUGAGUAAAUAUAUAGACUAUGUUAACCGGAUUAUGGAGUGAA
Hibiscus syriacus is the source of this 2147-nucleotide long non-coding RNA. RefSeq lists it as uncharacterized. The transcript has 3 exons. The record is from RefSeq and is a predicted model, not a curated record. Lineage: Eukaryota; Viridiplantae; Streptophyta; Magnoliopsida; Malvales; Malvaceae.